Prunus persica (peach) is the source of this 373-nucleotide long non-coding RNA. RefSeq lists it as uncharacterized. The transcript is spliced from 2 exons. NCBI's taxonomy places the organism in Eukaryota, Viridiplantae, Streptophyta, Magnoliopsida, Rosales, Rosaceae. The record is from RefSeq and is a predicted model, not a curated record.
GAGUGAGGCAAAUGAUACUGCUAGUAAGAGUUUCUCAGAUGGUGGAUGUUGCUUGAGAGGGAAGAAUUAGUCAACAGGGUCAGAAGGAAAUAUCCUUAAAAAGGAAGAUGAUCUCGAAAAUCAACGGUUUCAAUCAUCAUACAACAUUGCAGAAUGAAAAGGAGAAUGAAGAAAGUAGAAAAAGAGUGCACGAAGAAAAUGUAACUAGCAUUCCUCUAUCUUUAUACUGAGUAAAAAUUAGCCUUACGUUCAAGAUGUAGGAUAUACUCUCAACAGCAUGCACAAAGAAAGUUCAAUAUGAACUUGUUGAUAGGGUUGUAAGAUAAUUGAAUGGUCUUGAACUCAUAAGCAAGCUACUGGAAAAUAGUUUUUC